AAACAUCGCCUCUUGCAAAAUAUAAGAGGUCCAGCCUGCCCAGUGACUCUGUUCAACGGCCGCGGUAUCCUAACCGUGCGAAGGUAGCGUAAUCACUUGUUCUUUAAAUGCGGACUAGUAUGAAUGGCACCACGAGGGUUAUACUGUCUCCUUUCUCUAAUCAGUGAAACUGAUCUCCCCGUGAAGAAGCGGGGAUACACCUAUAAGACGAGAAGACCCUAUGGAGCUUUAAACAUAAUAGCAUUUGCCCUAUAACACAAAAAUUCCUGAAUCAUUAACACACCCGGCAAUAUGACUAUAAGUUUUUGGUUGGGGUGACCACGGAGUACAACACAACCUCCGUAUUGAAAGAAUAUUAUUCUAAGCUAAGAACUACGAAUCUAAGCAUCAAAACACUGACAUCUAUUGACCCAAUUCAAUUGAACAACGAACCAAGUUACCCUAGGGAUAACAGCGCAAUCCACUUCGAGAGCUCCUAUCGACAAGUGGGUUUACGACCUCGAUGUUGGAUCAGGGUCUCCCAGUGGUGCAGCCGCUACUAAUGGUUCGUUUGUUCAACGAUUAAAACCCUACGUGAU
Molecule: ribosomal RNA, 578 nt
Filed under: Phrynoidis asper (giant Asian toad)
Lineage: Eukaryota; Metazoa; Chordata; Amphibia; Anura; Bufonidae
Description: partial small subunit ribosomal RNA
Rfam family: Bacterial large subunit ribosomal RNA
Source: RNAcentral